CUGACUUUCUAUCCCAUUGUGUGUGAAUAAAAUUGCACCUCCUGUCUUCUUCUUGGGUACUGAGAAGAAUCUGCAGGAUUUAUAAUCCUGAAACUUCUGCCUUGUGUCCUAUACUCUCUAUGUAAGUAUCCACAGGGGUUGUGGAAGACGAUCCAUAUUUUGGGAUCUAGAGGAGAGUAUCUUUAAAAGCCUUAAUCUUUUUUAUGCCCAUUUUGUAGGCAGCCCAUGUAGUGUGAGAAUUAGUCUGGUGAGCCUUGUGGACACAUUUGACUCUUCAUGUGGCAGCUUGCUUUUCUCACAUAUGGAAGAGAUUAGAAGUCUGCAUAUUUGCUACAAGGCCUGCUCUCAAGUUCCCUAUACACCAGAUUGGACACUGCUUCUGAUCAGAGAGAAAGUCCCCGUACCUCCACUGGUUCUGAAGAUAAAAUUUUAAGGUGAACUCAAUUCCCCAAAUCAGGAAAACGACUAGAAAUCAGGGUCAACUGAAACUUAAACAUGGCCAUGAGAUAAAAAACAUGCAAGUUACUAUUCUAAAUAUAACUUCGAAAUUUGCUUUUAAAAGAAAACAUCAUCUAGUUUUAAAGUAACAUGACUAAAUACAAAAUGAAACAAUUGUCACAAAGUAGUAACAUGAAUUUCAAAUUUUC
RNAcentral lists this long non-coding RNA (647 nucleotides) under Vulpes vulpes (red fox). Its description in RNAcentral is "lncRNA (ENSVVUG00000017806.1)". The record is from RNAcentral. Lineage: Eukaryota; Metazoa; Chordata; Mammalia; Carnivora; Canidae.